UGGGGAAUAUUGCACAAUGGGGGAAACCCUGAUGCAGCGACGCCGCGUGAGCGAUGAAGGCUUUCGAGUCGUAAAGCUCUGUCCUAUGGGAAGAUAAUGACGGUACCAUAGAAGAAAGCCCCGGCUAAUUACGUGCCAGCAGCCGCGGUAAUACGUAAGGGGCGAGCGUUGUCCGGAAUUAUUGGGCGUAAAGAGUGCGUAGGCGGCAAAUUAAGUCAGAUGUGAAAACUAAGGGCUCAACCCAUAGAUUGCAUCUGAAACUGAUAUGCGUGAGUGAAGGAGAGGAAAGUGGAAUUCCUAGUGUAGCGGUGGAAUGCGUAGAUAUUAGGAGGAAUACCGGUGGCGAAGGCGACUUUCUGGACUUGAACUGACGCUGAGGCACGAAAGCGUGGGGAGCAAACAGG
RNAcentral lists this ribosomal RNA (404 nucleotides) under Verrucomicrobiota bacterium. RNAcentral describes it as "Verrucomicrobia bacterium partial 16S ribosomal RNA". It matches the Rfam family "Bacterial small subunit ribosomal RNA", at positions 355 to 776 of the family's 1533-position model. Lineage: Bacteria; Pseudomonadati; Verrucomicrobiota. The record is from RNAcentral.